CGGGUGAGUAACGCGUGGAUAACCUGCCUCACACUGGGGGAUAACAGUUAGAAAUGACUGCUAAUACCGCAUAAGCGCACAGUACCGCAUGGUACAGUGUGGAAAACUCCGGUGGUGUGAGAUGGAUCCGCGUCUGAUUAGCCAGUUGGCGGGGUAACGGCCCACCAAAGCGACGAUCAGUAGCCGACCUGAGAGGGUGACCGGCCACAUUGGGACUGAGACACGGCCCAA
RNAcentral lists this ribosomal RNA (231 nucleotides) under uncultured bacterium. Its description in RNAcentral is "partial 16S ribosomal RNA". It matches the Rfam family "Bacterial small subunit ribosomal RNA", at positions 103 to 334 of the family's 1533-position model. The record is from RNAcentral.